CUGCUUUUGCUUCCACAUUUGACUGUAUUUGUUCUGAACUUCAGUUGUAAUUUUUUACUUACUGGAUCAACUUCAAACUGGUUUCAUUUGUUCAGCUGAAGACACUGAAACAUUUUAUCCUCUUGUAUUUUGUUUCUGUUCUUGAUCUUUAUCUUGAGUCACAUCAUCAGAAUAUGGACCCAACUAUGGAUUUAAAGAAAAACUGGAUGUCUAAACUGAAAGAGGAGUUUUCCAGGAGCCCAGUGGCAUCUACUUUAGGGAUUGCAUUGAUCCAGAUGGUGUUGGAGAAACUGGUGGAAACUGAGUUUUCAUGUCCCUGUGACUCCGGAUACAACAGUUUACAUACUUCAGUAUGUUUCUUUGUUCCACCAUUUAUAGUCCUUUCACUAAUUUAUGUCACCGCAUGUGACUGUAAACUCUAUGCCGCCUUGAGAUUCGGCAUCAUUCCAGCUGGAAUAUGGCUGGUAAUUGUGUUAUUAGACGGUCGUUAUUACGCCUGCUUAAUGACCGAUUGGUCAGGAAAGUAUGAAACGAUUCAGAACGCUGAACCUCAGAAAUGGUGUCAACCAUCAAACCCCAACUCAUCUCAGGAGCUACUGGCCAAAACCCAGUUCCUGUAUUCUGAAUCGCAGUUCUAUGGAUUCCUGGCAGCGUUUUUGUUGACAUUUUUUUAUAUUUUAUGUUUGAUCGUCUCUUCCUUCUACUCAUUCUGCUGUGCAAAUAUGGACAGAACCACCAUAUUUCUUCUUUCCAUUUUUAUUGCUCCAUUGUCUAUUUAUUGUUUAGUUCUGCGGAUGUUUGACUCUAUUUUGGUUGCCGGUUCAUGUGGUUUGGUUUGUCUGGCCCUGAUGUUCGCAGGUAAACUCACAGAGGACUGAGGGGUUUAAUAACUAACAGGAUAUCCCCAGGGUGACCGCGCCUCUCGGCCGUUAGAGGGGCACCAGCUCCCAUCUCCGCCCAAAUGGGAUGGGGGUCUAAGAAAAUGGGUGGAUGAAAUGAUUUUGUAGAAAUAUUGCUUUUUAGAAAUUUUCCCUGUUUUUAUUUGUUUUGGAAUUUAAAACGCUACUGGUAUAAACUUUAUGAUUUAAAAUUUCAGGAUUAGAUUUGACAUGUUUUGGUUGUAGUUAAAAAGGAUAAAAACAUGACAAUGUAGAUCAAUUAUCAAUGAAUGUCUGUUACAACUGGCCCCCGGACGAGCCCCCAAUUUGUUACGACUGGCUCAAGGUCAUAACAAAAACGGGAGAACAAGCAAUGGUUACGGUGCAGAAAAGGAAAUACUUAUUAACAAAACUACAAUGGAUUGUGAAUAUCAAUGUCAAUGACAUAAUGCAACAUGUCUUGUAUGUGUGCAUGUGGAAGUGUUGAGGUGCAAAAACAAAGAAACUCAAAUGUGCAAAAGCAGCUGAAGCCUGGCAGCAGAGCACCACACAUGGCGAAGGCGACCCAGGAAGUGGAGACGGCCUGCUUCAAAUACUCCACGGUGCAAAUCAGCAAAUCAGCCACCAGGGGGGAGGAGCACAAGGCAAACACCUGCAACCCAGUUUAUAAGGCCCAGAGCCGUAACAAUAACUAAAAUAUAACUGGUAUUAUAAUUAGACAUACGAGAAAUAUUAAAUCCCCGGGUUUUACUCUUGAUGAAAACCAAAACUGGAAACCACACAUCAGAAUUUAAAGAUAAUUUUGUUACAUAAACUGAAAGGCGCUUUGAAUGAUGAAGCUUUGUUGAUGUUUAAUUCACUUAUUGUUUCUUACUUUACUUAUUUUGAAGACGUUUGGAGGAAUGUUUGUUAAUUAUCCAUAAAUUCAAAUCUUAUUUUGUAAAAAGGAGCCGUAAGAAUCAUUAUCAGAAAAUGGUACAGAGAUCAUAUUUUUGAAAUUUCACAACUUGAUGG
Poecilia latipinna (sailfin molly) is the source of this 1892-nucleotide long non-coding RNA. RefSeq lists it as uncharacterized. Lineage: Eukaryota; Metazoa; Chordata; Actinopteri; Cyprinodontiformes; Poeciliidae. The record is from RefSeq and is a predicted model, not a curated record. The transcript has 3 exons.